Molecule: ribosomal RNA, 385 nt
Filed under: uncultured bacterium
Lineage: Bacteria
Description: bacterial SSU rRNA
Rfam family: Bacterial small subunit ribosomal RNA
Source: RNAcentral
GAUGAACGCUGGCGGCAUGCCUUACACAUGCAAGUCGAACGGCAGCACGGGAGCAAUCCUGGUGGCGAGUGGCGAACGGGUGAGUAAUAUAUCGGAACGUGCCCAGUCGUGGGGGAUAACGUAGCGAAAGCUACGCUAAUACCGCAUACGAUCUAUGGAUGAAAGCGGGGGAUCGCAAGACCUCGCGCGAUUGGGAGCGGCCGAUAUCAGAUUAGGUAGUUGGUGAGGUAAAGGCUCACCAAGCCGACGAUCUGUAGCUGGUCUGAGAGGACGACCAGCCACACUGGGACUGAGACACGGCCCAGACUCCUACGGGAGGCAGCAGUGGGGAAUUUUGGACAAUGGGCGAAAGCCUGAUCCAGCAAUGCCGCGUGAGUGAUGAAGG